This 235-nucleotide unclassified non-coding RNA is filed under the name plant metagenome. RNAcentral's name for it is "partial contains small subunit ribosomal RNA, internal transcribed spacer 1, and 5.8S ribosomal RNA". The record is from RNAcentral.
UCUCCGUUGGUGAACCAGCGGAGGGAUCAUUACCGAAAUUACCUUCAAAACCCACUGUGAACCUUACCUCUUGCCGCGUUGUCUCGGCGGGAGGCGGUGUGCGUCGCGCGCCCUAGCGGGCCGCGCCGCUCCCGUCCCCGCCGGCAGCGCCAAACUCUAAAUGCACAGCGGACUGUACGUUCUGAUUUACAAAAAAAACAAGUUAAAACUUUCAACAACGGAUCUCUUGGUUCUG